GCAGUGGUGGUUCUGUGGUAGAAUUCUUGCCAUCCAUGCAGGAGACCUGGGUUCAAUUCCCAGCCAGUGUA
RNAcentral lists this transfer RNA (71 nucleotides) under Loxodonta africana (African savanna elephant). It matches the Rfam family "tRNA". From Rfam's summary of the family: Transfer RNA (tRNA) molecules are approximately 80 nucleotides in length. Their secondary structure includes four short double-helical elements and three loops (D, anti-codon, and T loops). The record is from Rfam by way of RNAcentral. Lineage: Eukaryota; Metazoa; Chordata; Mammalia; Proboscidea; Elephantidae.